AUGUUGAUGCACAAAACCGAAGGGGUCUUGGAACAACACAAAUCUGACCGUGAAUCUGCAAGAAAGUAAAGAACACAAAAAGUAUCGUGGUUCACCCCAAUGUUUGAGCUACGUCCACACUGAUAUUGUAUUUCUCUGUUUGUGAGAGGAUUGUGAGGGAGAGAGAGCUCGAAUAUGAGAGUGAGGCUUUGCUCUGAAUCUCAGAGCCUUUCGAUUGUGAAGGUGAAAAGACCAUUUUAUAGACUAAGGGCUCCUUCCUUUUUUACAUAUUUGCCCCUUCAUUUAUUACAUAAUUACAUUUGAGUCUCCCGAGUAUUUAUACGAGAUCUAAAUACGGAAGCCCUAAGUAUGGUACAAACAGAUCUAUCAAAAAUUAUCAUGGACAUACCUAUUUUUCUACCACAUAUAGGAAUAUAGUGUCUAGAAGAUUCUCAUUUAAUUGAAACAUACAAAACUCAUUAACCACUCUAACCAGAAGCUCAUUUGAUUGAAAAGAAAAAGGAAUCAAUACGUAAAAAUUGAACCAAUCGAUUGAACACAUACCAAUUAUUAAGCUAAUUAGUGCUCUAGAAAUUUAGAGAUGUCAAAUGAUGAAGAAAAGGAAGAGGAAGAGGUUUGGAUGACUACAGAGGAGUAAAUGGGGGUGCAGAAUGACAACCAUGGGAGAUGGAAGGAUUUUUUAAAAAGAGAGAGAAUGGGCUUUGCUCCAUGGAGAUGAUGGACUGGUUAGGGUUUUAUUUUUUAUUUUUAAGUAGAUUGAGUUGGGUGUAAAAAGAAGUUUGAUUGAGUUGAGUUUUGAUAAGUAAGGGCAGUUUCGGAAAUAACGUUAGUUGUAAAGAGGUAAUAAUAGAUAAAUCAAAUACAAUGUGGGUAUAAAAAGUAAGCUAGGUGUUGAGAUACAAAAUAUGAGUUCAAAUAAAAUUUCCCUUUGGUGAUUUACCAAAAAAUAAAUAAAUAACUAGCACAACUUGAUGACUUAUCCAAAAAAAAAAAAAGUAGCACAACUUGGUGCUAUUCUAGUGAAUAAUCCAACCAAAACUAUAUCUAAUCAACAACUUAUGAAGUAAUCAACAACCAAACGAGACUGAAUCCAAACGAAUGAAUUAACAGAGUUUGUAAAGAGCAAAGGACUAUAAAAUAUACCACCUCGAAUAGGAGUCUUGGCUAGUUUAAGCUAGAAGACGAGUUGAAGUAGUCAAAAGAGGAAGAAGAGGCACAUUAGCCAUCAACAGGAAGCAGUGCAGAAAUAGAAGGAGAGU
RNAcentral lists this long non-coding RNA (1259 nucleotides) under Malus domestica (apple). RNAcentral describes it as "long non-coding RNA (MDOM_LNC014797)". Lineage: Eukaryota; Viridiplantae; Streptophyta; Magnoliopsida; Rosales; Rosaceae. The record is from RNAcentral.